AUGCACCUACUCACAAACGUUUUUUGCACGAUGCUCCGGGCGCUAAGUGCUACUCGAAAGGCUUUUCGGGGAGUGGUGACUGGGGGCCGGGAGUACCCAGCUGCCGGGUCCCUGCUGCCCACACGGGGUUGGUACUCACCUGCUGCAGGGCCAGGUAGGGCCGGUGCCGGAGCAGCCUGCUGUGGUACACGUAGAGCACGGCGCGCAGGACGCGUCCCUCGGCGGCCAGGCCUGGCCCCGACAGCCGCUUCCCGGCGACGUCGCACCGCCGCCGCAGCGCCGGCAGUAACCUCACUGAGGNGUGCUUGGCCGCCAGCGGCACCGUGGCGCUGUUCGCGGGCCAGGGCACGUCCAGCCGGUUCCAAGGCUCGUCCCGCCCGUCCCAGGCCGCCCUGGGCGCCGCCAUCUUCCCGCUGCGCGCGGCGGGCCCCAGCGUAGGCGGCACCAUCCGGGCGGGCUGGCGGGGAGAGUCGCGGGCCGGACCAAGUCAUCCCGGGGGGGUGCAUCAUGGCUCGGCACCUGGCGCUGAUGCGCGACAUGGGAAAUAACUAUAAAUUAUGAGUGUUAUUCACACUUUCUAAACCUCGCAAUUCUCCACUGUGUGCCUCAGGAGCUGAGGCCGUUGGGAGCCAGCGCCGCAAUAGCAGUGAGGCGGUGCGGCCGUGAACAUGGGGGUGACAGCAGUCCUCAGCCCUGCAGCCGUGCCCUCCCAUGUCGCACACGGCCCAGGUACCCUCCUGGCCAUCCCUACGCUCCAAGCUCACAGCCCCUACUGUUGGAAUUUGCUCUGGGAGGGGGCCACGGCAGGUUCCCCAUGGAGUUGAUUGCUGUAAUUCAUUAGUGCUGUUGGAAUAGUUUCCUAUCAAAAUGAUUUUUGUAGUGUUCUGAGUUCUCCUCCCCCAACUACAAGACAUUCCUGCCUCUUUCCCUCCCUGCCUGAAGUUGAAUGUACUCUUCUCCUACUUGCAAAUCUUGGUACAAUUAAUAUAUUUGUGAGAAACAAGGGAGUUACAUUGAGCACAAUUUUUG
This 1029-nucleotide long non-coding RNA is filed under the name Serinus canaria (Common canary). RNAcentral's name for it is "lncRNA (ENSSCAG00000009246.1)". The record is from RNAcentral. Lineage: Eukaryota; Metazoa; Chordata; Aves; Passeriformes; Fringillidae.